GAUGCACGCUGGCGGCGUGCCUAAUACAUGCAAGUCGAGCGAACGGACGAGAAGCUUGCUUCUCUGAUGUUAGCGGCGGACGGGUGAGUAACACGUGGAUAACCUACCUAUAAGACUGGGAUAACUUCGGGAAACCGGAGCUAAUACCGGAUGAUAUUUUGAACCGCAUGGUUCAAAAGUGAAAGACGGUCUUGCUGUCACUUAUAGAUGGAUCCGCGCUGCAUUAGCUAGUUGGUAAGGUAACGGCUUACCAAGGCAACGAUGCAUAGCCGACCUGAGAGGGUGAUCGGCCACACUGGAACUGAGACACGGUCCAGACUCCUACGGGAGGCAGCAGUAGGGAAUCUUCCGCAAUGGGCGAAAGCCUGACGGAGCAACGCCGCGUGAGUGAUGAAGGUCUUCGGAUCGUAAAACUCUGUUAUUAGGGAAGAACAUAUGUGUAAGUAACUGUGCACAUCUUGACGGUACCUAAUCAGAAAGCCACGGCUAACUACGUG
This 497-nucleotide ribosomal RNA is filed under the name uncultured bacterium. Its description in RNAcentral is "partial 16S ribosomal RNA". It matches the Rfam family "Bacterial small subunit ribosomal RNA", at positions 28 to 507 of the family's 1533-position model. The record is from RNAcentral.